Carassius gibelio (silver crucian carp) is the source of this 1838-nucleotide long non-coding RNA. RefSeq lists it as uncharacterized. The record is from RefSeq and is a predicted model, not a curated record. The transcript is spliced from 3 exons. NCBI's taxonomy places the organism in Eukaryota, Metazoa, Chordata, Actinopteri, Cypriniformes, Cyprinidae.
CAACGCCAGAGCCAUAUAGAGUGAGAGUUGCGACAACUCCAUUGACUCCAAUGGAACGCUUUUUUUACAGCAAUGGCGGCUCGUGGAGCCUCUCAAUAGUUCCCGGAAGUAGCGGCAAACCGAUGCCGCGCCGUAGAAGAUGCAGCAGAACAAACCGUUUGCGACGCACUUUUAACAGGUGGAGGAUUAGUGGUGCCACUGAAGUGUUCUGUGAUGGAGCAUCAGUGAGGAUGCAGACCCUGGUAACUGGCUGAUGGUUCACAGGAAUGAUGACUGGCUGCUGACUGACUUGCUGCUGGUUGACUGGGCAGUGUCACCUGUCCCUGUCUCUCCUCUCUAGCCAUGUCCUUUUUCUUCACUCUCACUUUCCUUUCUCUGAGUGUCCUCGUUCUUUUUUCCUCAACCUUUGAAACUGAUAGAGAUAGAAUACAUGGUUUUGCUAAUUUUAAAUAUUGAAAAUAUCACAUCACUUUACUUCAACUAGUACGAGUUUGUACUUAUUAUAUAUGAAUCACCUGAAAUAACAUAGCUGUAAUCAGCAGCCAUUUCUUGUAUGUUCACAGGUCUAGGGGUGCAUCGUGGAGCAGGGCCCUCCUCUUUUUGACCACAGGACGGUGUACAAAGAUUGUGGGAAUAGCAUCUGGUCUCAGCCUACUCUUGAAUUUUUUGGUCAUGACAAAUUGCAUUGCUGCAAUUUGUCUGCAUACUGACUUCAGUUUAGUUUCCACACACACCUUUUUUUUUGUCUACCCACUUACAGUACAUAUCACAUGGUGGUUAAAUGCACAGUUAUAGGUAACACUGAUGACUCCCUGCAAUGUCUCACCAUGAGUCUCAGCUCCCUGGGUUUUGCAAGGCUUUGCUUGUUCCUUAUUUCUAGUAAAACAUUGUCAAUGUAAAAAGUGCAAAUAAAUGUAAGUAUAAUUACCUAACAAUUUUUUGUUGUUGUAAUUUUUAUUUGUAUUUAGAUUGCUCCUGCUGACUUGAGCCAACCAUUAUUUUCUCCUCUCUAUGUCAGCGGGGAAGCCAUACAUUCGCACACCUUUCUCUGACUGAGUGGAGCAUCCCCAUGCAGCCCAGUAAACCAUGGUGGAGACUAUGCAAGGACAACAUGAAAGAAAGGACACAUACAAAAUGCUUGUCAUGCUAUUAAAUUUAUUAGAAAUGUAUUCAUGAAUUGCUGUAAAUAGUUAAUUGUAUAAUUACAAUUUAAAAUAACUGUUUUCUAUUUUAAAAUGGAAUAUACUCCUGUGAUGCCAACCUGAAUUUUCAGCAUCAUUUUGAAUGGCAGUGUACAUGUUUAUAUACGAGCAUGCUUAAGUUGUUUUAAACCUGAAUAUAUUGUGUACAUGAAUAAGUAUUGUAAGAAUUAUACUAGAUAUAGUAGGUAUAUUAUUUAUAAUACAUAAUUAUAUUACUAUAUGUAAUUGUAAGAAUUAUAAACAGUAAGCUUCAUUUUACAUUUAUUUAACAUGCUAAUUACUGCUGGUAACAGUUAAUUGACCCAUAGUGCGGUGCGAGCUGAAAAUCACCUGUUACCAGCCUGUCUCUGUACUACCUGAAAGUCAUCGAUAUGACAUGAGUUAACAUUAGAUCAGUGAAAAAAUGGACAAUAUGUAACGUAAAAAGGCAACAGCAACCCGUGUUUAUAAAACUUAACGUUAGCCUGAAAUAUGUUUUUAAAAUAACGGUAAUUGAACACUAAUCCUCAAAUAUUACCCGAUUUGAUAUUUUAAAAACAACAUCGCUGUAACUACAUACUCAUGCUACAUACAUAUGUCAGUGUGUUGUAUAAACAUAUAAAAUAAAUGCAUUUAUUGACUCCUUAUUACCAGAAA